Molecule: long non-coding RNA, 2790 nt
Organism: Quercus lobata
Lineage: Eukaryota; Viridiplantae; Streptophyta; Magnoliopsida; Fagales; Fagaceae
Exons: 6
Source: RefSeq, a predicted model, not a curated record
UCUAUUUAUUCAAUAGAAUUUGGUCCUCAGCAGCUAUUUUAAGGUGUUUGCAUCAUGGUUCUUUUGAUAAAAGUUUGAAAGGUUUGUAUCAUAGGUUUCGAUUACCAAGGAGCUAAUACCUUCAGAAAGGUCUACAUCAUAGUUCGUAACCAUAGAUUGUUGCUAAUUAAUUAUUUAGUUGUAGAAAGUGAGUUGGGAGAUACUGUCAUUGUCCAACCAAGUCCAUUUUCAGGCUGAAGUUUUUGCCAUUUUGGACUCAUAUUUGAGCUAAUGACAUGCUUCUUUUUAAGUUGGAUUUUAUUGUUUUAUGUGGACAAUGUUUGAUUAUUUAUCUUGAUUUGUCUACAGGAGUGGAAAUUGAUUUGGACUUUCUUGUACUUGAGUAGUCGAGUUUGUGUAGAAGUCUUAAAUCUUUCUUGAACUUAAAUUGUGUAGACUACAACAAUAAGAAAACUCAUUUUGUCUUGAAUUUUACAUUUUGCUUGUAAGUCCUUUGAUAUAGUGUUCCCACUAACUGUGAUAUUAUACUAUUCCUUGAUAUAGUGUUCCCACUAACUGUGAUAUUAUACUAUUCCUUGUUCAAUUUAUUUAUAGGUUUUGGUCCUCGAUAGCUGUUUUAAGGCAUUAGUUUUGGUGAAGUUGGCUUUCCUCGAUCGAUUUGGUUCUUGUCUAUAGGAGCACGAUUCAUUAUUGUUGGCUUGCUGGUGCUUGGCAGCUUAAGGCUUGUUGUUGUUGUUGUUGGCAGCUUAAGUGAUGGAGUUUAGUUUGGCAAUAAGCAAUUUUUCCCCCCCUUGUUUUCUUUAUUCUCUCCUUCAAUCAUAUGAAUUAUAAGUAUAUUUUCCGUAUUGUUUUCUAAUAUUGGGCAAUAUAUGCUUUGUUUUAGGAUUUGGUUUCCUUGAGGAUUAUAAAUUUCAGUCUCACUCAACAAGGGUUCGAAAGUUCCAUUGAAAUUCUUAUCCUUUUGUCCUGCUUUCUAGUUCGACUUUAGUCAUUCUAUUUUGGCAAGCUUGUAUCUAUUUCAUAUGUGCCAAUAUGAGAUGAGUUCUGGAUGCCUUAAAAAUAGCUGUUCUCUAAUUACAAGUGAAGUUUAGAGCUGCUUCCUUAUACCUCCUCUAUAGGUGUGUCUACUUGGGAUGGAGUUUGAUGAGGACCUAAGGCAGUAAUCUCUCUUUAUCAAUUGAUUUCACUAUUCUCUUCAUAAUAGUUGAAUGAUAAUGUUUCUGCUUGUGUGUUUUUUUUAGUUCAUCGGCUUUCUGCUUCAUUUAGUUAAUUGAAGUCUUGCUGUUUGUUGGUAGUCAGAAUUCUUGAAUCUUGAUGUGUAUGGCGAAAUUGUGAUUUACAAUCUUCAUGUUUCUAUUGCAGGGGAAAUGGUGAUUUAGUUGCGCAAAAGAGUGCAUAGAAGUCUUGAAUUUUAAUAUGAGGACCUAAGGCAAUAAUCUCUUUUUAUCAAUUUAUCUCAUCAUUCUUUCCCCAACAUGUGAAGAUUAAUGAUUCUGCUUGAAUGUUUCUUUAGUUUGUGCUAAAUACUGGAGUUUCAUUGUGUCUUGCUAGUUGCUGCUAGUUCAAAGACUUUGAUCAUGAUGUGUCUACAGGUGGAAAAGUUAUGAUUUUACUUUUGCAGCAGGAGCGUGUAGAAGUCUUUUGAUUAUCAUUCUCUUUUGAUUUCACGUUUUUUACCCUUGAACAUGAUCUUGUCCCUUGUUCAAUUUAUUUUAUGGACUUUGUUUCUUUGCAUAUUUUUUAAGGCAUGUACGUUGGAUCAAUGUGUUUGGAAUUAACUUGUGUCCAUGGAUUUUAUUCAUAAUUAUAAUCUUGAAUUGUUGCUGAUUAUGUUGUAGCCAUCAAAAGUGAGCAGAUACUGUCGAACCGAGUCUGUGGUUAAUCUCUGCUACAAUCAUAAGAAUUAUAGGGAUAAUAUUGUUCUUGUUUAAUUUCUUUCUAUUACUUGGGUGUGUGAAUGCUUUUCUUUGGUGUUGGUUUUAUAGAGGUUUUGAAACUUCCAUUGCAUUUCAGUGUGGUAAUGCGUCUUAAUGGUGUCGGGCAGGUAGAUUAACUGAGUUUGUGUGCUAAAUAUAUCUGUCAUGUGAAAGUAAUUAUGAUAUUUCUUUAUCCUAUAGUGACGGGCAUGAGGAGUGCUUUCUGGAAUUAACUUAUCUCUCUGCAUUUGCAUCAUAAUUGUAAUCUUGAAUUGUUGCUGAUUUGAUUUUGUAGUCAUUGAAAAUGAGAAGAUACUGUUUACAUCCUUCCUAAUCCUUUGUUAGUCCGAAGGUUUUGCUAUUUUUGACUCAAAUUCACUAAACAACAAUAUUCUUCUUUACAAGUUGCCAAUGUUUGUUUUGUAAAUUUGAGAGGGUGAGGUUUGGUGUUAUUGAUAACAGUAUAUCUACAGGAGGGGAAAAUUGUGAUUUGGACUUUAAUAUGUUUGAGCAGGUUUUUGUGUUGUGUUGACUGCAACAAUAAGCAAUCUCUUCCCUUCUCUUGAUUUCUCCUUUUGCUUAUGAGUCUUUUAAAACAUUGUUUGCCCAAACAUGAUACAAUUCAGUAUUUUUGUUCAAUUUAUUUUACAGAUUUUGGUGCUUGGCUAUUCGCUGCAGCAAAAUUGACUUCUCUAAAUCAAUCUGGUAUCCUACUUGGGAAAUAAAGUUUGUUGGGGACCUAAGGCAUUAAUUAAGCUCUCUUUAUCUCUGACUGUAUUUUCCAGUUUGCUCAUGCGGGAAGUCAAUGCCAAUGCUACCAAGGGGGAAGCAGGCUAAGCCGUGGAAUUUGAUUUGGCAAUAGGCUUUCCUUUCC